RNAcentral lists this ribosomal RNA (274 nucleotides) under uncultured bacterium. RNAcentral describes it as "partial 16S ribosomal RNA". It matches the Rfam family "Bacterial small subunit ribosomal RNA", at positions 1228 to 1500 of the family's 1533-position model. The record is from RNAcentral.
AAAUGGUGGGUUAACAGAGGGAAGCAAGACCGCGAGGUGGAGCAAAUCCCUAAAAGCCAUCCCAGUUCGGAUUGCAGGCUGCAACCCGCCUGUAUGAAGUUGGAAUCGCUAGUAAUCGCGGAUCAGCAUGCCGCGGUGAAUACGUUCCCGGGCCUUGUACACACCGCCCGUCACACCAUGAGAGUCGGGAACACCCGAAGUCCGUAGCCUAACCGCAAGGGGGGCGCGGCCGAAGGUGGGUUCGAUAAUUGGGGUGAAGUCGUAACAAGGUAUC